Molecule: ribosomal RNA, 253 nt
Filed under: uncultured bacterium
Lineage: Bacteria
Description: partial 16S ribosomal RNA
Rfam family: Bacterial small subunit ribosomal RNA
Source: RNAcentral
UACAGAGGGGGCAAGCGUUGUUCGGAAUUACUGGGCGUAAAGGGCGCGUAGGCGGCCUGUUAAGUCGAACGUGAAAUCCCCGGGCUCAACCCGGGAACUGCGUCCGAUACUGGCAGGCUUGAAUCCGGGAGAGGGAUGCGGAAUUCCAGGUGUAGCGGUGAAAUGCGUAGAUAUCUGGAGGAACACCGGUGGCGAAGGCGGCAUCCUGGACCGGUAUUGACGCUGAGGCGCGAAAGUGUGGGGAGCGAACAGG